Molecule: long non-coding RNA, 1645 nt
Organism: Pseudopipra pipra
Lineage: Eukaryota; Metazoa; Chordata; Aves; Passeriformes; Pipridae
Exons: 6
Source: RefSeq, a predicted model, not a curated record
ACGACCCCGCGAGGGGCGGGUCCGGGGGAGGAGCGGCCUGAGCAGCUCCGGGCGGAUCGGUGUGCGAUGCUUGGGGUGUUUUUGGGGGAGGUCUUAGUUUUAAUCUUUAUUGCACCUUUUGCCAAGCGCUCAGAGGUGUAAAAGGUUUAAAACUUUUCUGUUUGGCUGGGGGAGGGGGUUUGUGUUUGUGUGUAUAGAAGUUGCAGAAUCACAGAAUCGGGAUGGAAAAGACUGAGGCCAUGGAGUCCAACCUGUGACCUAACACCACCUUGUCAACUAGACCAUGGCACUGAGUGCCAUGUCCAGUCUUUCCUUAAACACCUCCAGGGAUGAUGACUCCACUACUUCCCUGGGUAGUUCAUUCCAGUGUAUAAUCACUCUGGGAAGAAAUUCCUCCUGACGUCCAAUCUGAACCUCUCCUGGCACAGCUUAAGACUGUGUCCUCUCAUCCUGUCACUAGUUGCCUGGGAGAAAAGGCCAAUCCCCACCUCCUACAACCUCCUUUCAGGUCUGUCACUACAACCUUGUGUCAAUCCAAUACUGCCCAGCACUGCAAGAACUGGGAUAAAUCAACACGGAUUAUGGACUUCAAAGUGCCAUGAGGAAUGCUGUAACAGCACCAUGGCAGCAUGGCCAAAAAGCGCAGGAAGCUGGAUUUGUGUCAGGACAGAUCAGCCCAGACAAGCCUCAUUUCUUACUUUUUCAGCUACAUAAUGGAACUUUUAUCACAAGAUAUUGCAAUAUUCCUAUAUUUACUAAACAACAGAGUUCCUUCAAGGCAAACAGUGUUCAGAGAGCUCCUGAGAACAGCUGUGAAAUUCAGACCAGUUUACCAAUUACUUUCACAAAAGAGUUGUUUUAAAUCCAUUUUCCCUUGAAGGUCUCAGAUCAGGAAGACCUCAUCCACCUAUGUCAAAGACCUCUCUGUGAUGCAAACAAAAGCACAGUAAAUGAGCAUAAUCAGGAGAAUCAUUUCAAAACUGUAAUUCUGAUCUAACUCCAUCAUUAAUGACAACACAUUCUGAUUGAGCCAUCAUCUGCCUGGGCUUAGCUAACCAGAGGUUGUGCUCUGUUACUGUGUGAAAAGAAGGAUGCACUAUCCCCACACCAAAAUGCAAAUGCUCUGGAAUAACACAGAGUCCUAAGUAUGCCAGCGCAGGAAAAUGUAGAAACUGGAAGGCCUUUGGAGAAAAUGAAGAAAGCUGUAUUGCAAAGAAAAAUAUUCUGAACACAAAAAUUAUUGUGAUGGGAUUCUUUUGCUUAUAGCAAUGAGAGCACUUUUUUGCCAAGGCAAUGAUCCUAAAUGUUCUGGGCCCCUCGGGGAAUUGCUUUAUAUGGAGUACUGCUAGCUUGCUCCAAUAGACAAGGCAUGCAGGCUGUCACAGUCACGGAUAUGAAAUUUAUCUUUCUAUAAAUGAAUUACAGGCUUAGGAAGCCAGCAAGCAUCCAAGCAUCAGAAAACAAAACUGGGAUAUAGAUCACCUAAAUUUUAAUUGAUUCCUUUGCACAGUGACCUGCCAUUUUAUUUCAGACUAAGUUCUUACACCAUCCCAAUCCCUGCGGCAUUGGCAUAGGACUCACAGGGCAGCUGAGCUGCUCAGGACCCAGAACUUUCACAAAUCUGAAAUAAAUCUUCUGAAACAGC